Molecule: ribosomal RNA, 869 nt
Filed under: uncultured bacterium
Lineage: Bacteria
Description: bacterial SSU rRNA
Rfam family: Bacterial small subunit ribosomal RNA
Source: RNAcentral
AUUGAACGUUGGCGGCAGGCUUAACACAUGCAAGUCGAGCGGAGACUUCGGUCUUAGCGGCGAACGGGUGAGUAAUACCUAGGAAUCUGCCUAUUAGUGGGGGAUAACGGCUCGAAAGGGUCGCUAAUACCGCAUACGUCCUACGGGAGAAAGUGGGGGAUCUUCGGACCUCACGCUAAUAGAUGAGCCUAGGCCGGAUUAGCUAGUUGGUAGGGUAAAGGCCUACCAAGGCGACGAUCCGUAGCUGGUCUGAGAGGAUGAUCAGCCACACUGGAACUGAGAUACGGUCCAGACUCCUACGGGAGGCAGCAGUGGGGAAUAUUGGACAAUGGGCGCAAGCCUGAUCCAGCCAUGCCGCGUGUGUGAAGAAGGCCUUCGGGUUGUAAAGCACUUUAAGCGAGGAGGAAGGUCUUUGAACUAAUAUUUCAAAGAAUUGACGUUACUCGCAGAAUAAGCACCGGCUAACUCUGUGCCAGCAGCCGCGGUAAUACAGAGGGUGCAAGCGUUAAUCGGAAUUACUGGGCGUAAAGCGCGCGUAGGCGGUAUGUUAAGUCGGAUGUGAAAUCCCUGGGCUCAACCUAGGCAUUGCAUCCGAUACUGGCACACUAGAGUGUGGGAGAGGAAGGUAGAAUUCCAGGUGUAGCGGUGAAAUUCGUAGAUAUUCGUAAGAACACCAGUGGCGAAGCGACUUACUGGCUCGAUACUGACGCUAAGCGCGAAAGCGUGGGGAGCAAACAGGAUUAGAUACCUGGUAGUCCACGCUGUAACGAUGAGUGCUAGAUGUUGGCGAGAAUUCAUCAGUGUCGCAGCUAACGCAUUAGCAACUCCGCUGGGAGUACGGUCGCAAGAUUAAACUCAAGAAUGACGGG